UGCGGAGGAUCAUUAACGAAUAUAAUUCGAGGGGUUGUCGCUGGCCUCGCUCGCGCGAGGCAUGUGCACGCUUCUCGUUUUUCUCUCAACUCACCUGUGCACCUAAUGUAGGAUGCCUCUCCUCCGGGAGGGGGGACCUAUGUCUUCGUAACAUCUUCGUGUAGAAAGUCUUUGAAUGUUUACUAUCAUCGAGUCGCGACUUCUAGGAGACGCGGUUCUUUGAGAUAAAAGUUAUUACAACUUUCAGCAACGGAUCUCUUGGCUCUCGCAUCGAUGAAGAACGCAGCGAAAAGCGAUAUGUAAUGUGAAUUGCAGAUCUACAGUGAAUCAUCGAAUCUUUGAACGCACCUUGCGCUCCUCGGUGUUCCGAGGAGCAUGCCUGUUUGAGUGUCAGUAAAUUCUCAACCCCUCUCGAUUAGCUUCGAGAGGGCGCUUGGAUAGUGGAGGUUGCCGGAGACUUGGAUUCGUCCGAGACUCGGGCUCUUCUGAAAUGCAUCGGCUUGCGGUCGACUUUCGACUAUGUGCGACAAGGCUUUCGGCGUGAUAAUGAUCGCCGUUCGCUGAAGCGCAUGACUGAACGUCCCGUGCCUCUAAUACGUCGACCGCUUAUUAUCUCUCCGGAGAGAACAGGGUCUUCCUUAUUGACUUUUGACCUCAAAUCAGGUAGGACUACCCGCUGAACUUAAGC
Molecule: ribosomal RNA, 688 nt
Filed under: uncultured Rhizopogon
Lineage: Eukaryota; Fungi; Basidiomycota; Agaricomycetes; Boletales; Rhizopogonaceae
Description: eukaryotic LSU rRNA
Rfam family: 5.8S ribosomal RNA (bases 239-393)
Source: RNAcentral